RNAcentral lists this ribosomal RNA (1478 nucleotides) under uncultured prokaryote. RNAcentral describes it as "partial 16S ribosomal RNA". It matches the Rfam family "Bacterial small subunit ribosomal RNA". The record is from RNAcentral.
AGAGUUUGAUCGUGGCUCAGAGCGAACGCUGGCGGCGUGCCUAACACAUGCAAGUCGAACGCUGAACUCCUGAAUCUUCGGAUUUGGGAGCUAGGCGUGGCGCACGGGUGAGUAACGCGUGGAUAACCUGCCCACUAGUGGGGAAUAACCCCGGGAAACUGGGGCUAAUACCGCAUAAUCUUUUCCUGACACCGGUCGGGAAAUGCAAAGCCCGCAAGGGCGCUGGUGGAGGGAUCCGCGUCUGAUCAGCUAGUUGGUGAGGUAACGGCUCACCAAGGCAGAGACCGGUAGCCGGUCUGAGAGGACGAUCGGCCACACUGGAACUGAGACACGGUCCAGACUCCUACGGGAGGCAGCAGUGAGGAAUAUUGCGCAAUGGGGGAAACCCUGACGCAGCGACGCCGCGUGGAGGACGAAGAUCUUCGGGUUGUAAACUCCUGUCGAGCGGGACGAACAGCGACAAGCGCCUGACGGUACCGCUAAAGGAAGCCCCGGCUAACUCCGUGCCAGCAGCCGCGGUAAUACGGGGGGGGCAAGCGUUGUUCGGAAUUACUGGGCGUAAAGGGCUCGUAGGCGGCCAUCCAAGUCGGACGUGAAAUCCCUCGGCUUAACUGAGGAACUGCGUUCGAUACUGGUUGGCUUGAAGCCGGGAGAGGGAUGCGGAAUUCCAGGUGUAGCGGUGAAAUGCGUAGAUAUCUGGAGGAACACCGGUGGCGAAGGCGGCAUCCUGGACCGGUCUUGACGCUGAGGAGCGAAAGCUAGGGGAGCAAACGGGAUUAGAUACCCCGGUAGUCCUAGCCCUAAACGAUGAAUGAUUGGUGUGGCGGGUCGAUCCCUGCCGUGCCGGAGCUAACGCAUUAAGCAUUCCGCCUGGGGAGUACGGUCGCAAGGCUGAAACUCAAAGGAAUUGACGGGGGCCCGCACAAGCGGUGGAGCAUGUGGUUUAAUUCGACGCAACGCGAAGAACCUUACCCGGGCUUGAAGUGCGAGUGAUCAUCGGUGAAAGCCGACUUCCGCAAGGACAGGCUGAUGCACAGGUGCUGCAUGGCUGUCGUCAGCUCGUGUCGUGAGAUGUUGGGUUAAGUCCCGCAACGAGCGCAACCCUUGUUUGCUGUUGCCAUCAGUUCGGCUGGGCACUCUGCGAAGACUGCCGGUGAUAAACCGGAGGAAGGUGGGGAUGAAGUCAAGUCAGCAUGGCCUUUAUGUCCGGGGCUACACACGUGCUACAAUGCGCGCCACAGAGGGUUGCCAACCCGCGAGGGGGAGCUAAUCCUAGAAAAGCGCGCUCAGUUCGGAUUGGAGUCUGCAACCCGACUCCAUGAAGCUGGAAUCGCUAGUAAUGGCGCAUCAGAUCGGUGCCGUGAAUACGUUCUCGGGCCUUGUACACACCGCCCGUCACAUCACGAAAGGGGGCUGUACUAGACGUCGCUUCGCCAACCCGCAAGGGAGGCAGGCGCCCACGGUGUGGUCUCUGAUUG